Molecule: unclassified non-coding RNA, 181 nt
Filed under: uncultured fungus
Lineage: Eukaryota; Fungi
Description: sequence contains ITS1, 5.8S rRNA gene
Source: RNAcentral
CCAAAACUUAGCUGUCUGGCCGCAAGGCUCUGACGCUUCAACCCUUUGUGAACCAAAAAACCUUUCGCUUCGGCAGCCGCGCCGGUUGGGAACAGCCUGCGCUUCAGCCUGCCGUUAGCACCAAACAUCAAAACUUGCAGUCAAAAACAUUGUCUGAUACCAAAUUUUCGAAUGAAAAUCA